This 249-nucleotide long non-coding RNA is filed under the name Oryza brachyantha (malo sina). RNAcentral's name for it is "long non-coding RNA (OBRA_LNC000457)". The record is from RNAcentral. Lineage: Eukaryota; Viridiplantae; Streptophyta; Magnoliopsida; Poales; Poaceae.
GAUAACGCCCCGAAAACCCUAGGUCAGCCAUCUCUCCUCCUCCAGUUCCGUCGCCGCCUCGCCCCCAUCUCCUCCACCUCCACCCACGGCGCCCCCAUCUCCUCCUCCACCUCCGUCCGCCGACGCACCCCCGUCUCCUCCACCUUCGUCCACCGCGCCCGGGAGACAAGCCGACAACGGAUCUGACCGCCCCCAUCCCUGUCCUUCCCCCAAGCAGCAACACCUGUGGAUCUGACCGGAGGUGGUGGC